Molecule: long non-coding RNA, 627 nt
Organism: Cylas formicarius (sweet potato weevil)
Lineage: Eukaryota; Metazoa; Arthropoda; Insecta; Coleoptera; Brentidae
Exons: 3
Source: RefSeq, a predicted model, not a curated record
AGUUGUAGGAUUAUUUGAUGCGGUUUUACAAUGCCCAUCCGAGUUUCAAACUAUUGUAAACGCGAACACAGUUAAACGUAGAAAAUGUCAAAAUGGGUACAUGUCGACGAAUUUUUAAAUUAAAGGAUUCAAAAAAUUUGCAGAAAGAGAAAUGAUACAAGAACUAGAUGUUUCACUACCCCCUAAAAAAAAAAAGCUGACGUCCCAGGUAACAAAUUAGACCAUUGAAGAACCGCUUAGAAGAGGGUAGUUUAACAGCAAAAAUUAUCAUCAAUGAGUUAUCAAUAAAACGACUUCUGAUAAUUUCUAGAGAAAUUAUCAUAAGAAAUUUAAAUAAAAACCAUCAUUGCCAAUUUGGAAAAAAAAUUAUCCAAGUAAAAUAUUAUUCGGAUAAAUGGAUAUAAACACAGGUGGACAAUAAAUCACUACCGACAACUUAGUUAUGAAGAAUAUCGUUCAUCAAUUAUAAAAAAAAAAGAGACAAUUUUAUUAAAUAAACGAUCAUUGAAACUUUGUAAGUAUUCGUCGAGUCAUCCAAGAAAAUACUUCAUUUAGACAUAAAUUUCAAUUUAACAAGUAAGUUUUUUUUAUUCGUUUUAUGUAACAUAAUAAGUUUUUCUAGUUUAA